GCCAAAUUGCUGUGGUCUGAUGCGCAAUGCCCCUUCUAGUAAUUUUACUACUAUGAGGUGGUGGUAAUUUCUGCCUCAAGUGAAUAACUGUGUGUGACAUGCUAAUUUGAGUUGAGCUAAUCUGUGUACCUAGUGGGGUUUCUGGAGAGAUGUGCAGUGUGUGUGUACCUAGUGGAGGUUCUGGGGAGAUGUGUGUGUGUGUGUGUGUACCUAGUGGUGGUUCUGGGGAAAUUUGCAGUGUGUGUAUCUAGUGGGGGUUCUGGGGAGAUGUGUGUGUGUGUACCUAGUGGUGGUUCUGGGGAGAUAUGUGUGUGUGUGCAUCUAGUGGUGGUUCUGGGGAGAUGUGUGUGUGUGUGU
Molecule: long non-coding RNA, 357 nt
Organism: Oncorhynchus tshawytscha (Chinook salmon)
Lineage: Eukaryota; Metazoa; Chordata; Actinopteri; Salmoniformes; Salmonidae
Source: Ensembl